CCCUUAGAUGUUCUGGGCUGCACGCGCGCUACACUGGUGCGUUCAGCGAGUUUAGCACCUUAACAGAUAUGUUUGGGUAAUCUUCUGAAAACGCACCGUGAUGGGGAUCGAUUAUUGUAAUUAUUAAUCGUCAACGAGGAAUUCCUAGUAAGUGCGAAUCAUCAGUUCGCGCUGAUUACGUCCCUGCCCUUUGUACACACCGCCCGUCGCUGCUACCGAUUGAGUGGUCCGGUGAAUUAUUCGGACCGGUGGACUGUGGGGAAACCCGCGGCCUGCUGGGAAGUCUUGUGAACCUUAUCACUUAGAGGAAGCAGAAGUCGUAACA
This 325-nucleotide ribosomal RNA is filed under the name uncultured eukaryote. RNAcentral describes it as "partial 18S ribosomal RNA". It matches the Rfam family "Eukaryotic small subunit ribosomal RNA", at positions 1470 to 1796 of the family's 1831-position model. The record is from RNAcentral.